CCUGGCUCAGAACGAACGCUGGCGGCAGGCCUAACACAUGCAAGUCGAGCGAGACCUUCGGGUCUAGCGGCGGACGGGUGAGUAACGCGUGGGAAUGUGCCCUUCUCUACGGAAUAGCCUCGGGAAACUGGGAGUAAUACCGUAUACGCCCUUUGGGGGAAAGAUUUAUCGGAGAAGGAUCAGCCCGCGUUGGAUUAGGUAGUUGGUGGGGUAAUGGCCUACCAAGCCUACGAUCCAUAGCUGGUUUGAGAGGAUGAUCAGCCACACUGGGACUGAGACACGGCCCAGACUCCUACGGGAGGCAGCAGUGGGGAAUCUUAGACAAUGGGGGCAAC
Molecule: ribosomal RNA, 335 nt
Filed under: Paracoccus sp. R-26824
Lineage: Bacteria; Pseudomonadati; Pseudomonadota; Alphaproteobacteria; Rhodobacterales; Paracoccaceae
Description: bacterial SSU rRNA
Rfam family: Bacterial small subunit ribosomal RNA
Source: RNAcentral